This 289-nucleotide unclassified non-coding RNA is filed under the name Troglotrematidae sp. HS-2009. Its description in RNAcentral is "ITS2". The record is from RNAcentral. Lineage: Eukaryota; Metazoa; Platyhelminthes; Trematoda; Plagiorchiida; Troglotrematidae.
UAUAAACUAUCGCGACGCCCAAAAAGUCGCGGCUUGGGUCUUGCCAGCUGGCGUGAUAUCCCCUAUUUGGUCUUGUGCCUUUGUGGGGUGCCAGAACUAUGGCGUUUCCCUAAUGUACCCGGACGCACCAUGUUACGGCUAAAAGCCUUGACGAGAUGUGUCGAUAGAGUCGUGGCUCAGUGAUAUAUUUUAUGUGCGCGCUCUACCGUCAUGUUUUGUCUAUGGUUGGCUUGCUGUGGGUGGUUGUGUACCGAUGCUGACUAAUGAUGUGCCAUAUGGCUCAUCAUUU